GUGAGGAAUUUUGCGCAAUGGCCGCAAGGCUGACGCAGCAACGCCGCGUGGGUGAUGAAGGCCUUCGGGUCGUAAAGCCCUGUCAGGUGGGAAGAAAGGCCUGGAGAGGAAAGGUUUCAGGUUUGACGGUACCACCAGAGGAAGCACCGGCUAACUCCGUGCCAGCAGCCGCGGUAAUACGGAGGGUGCGAGCGUUAUUCGGAAUUACUGGGCGUAAAGCGCGUGUAGGCGGGGGGACAAGUCUGAUGUGAAAGCCCUGGGCUUAACCUGGGAAGCGCAUUGGAAACUGUUUUUCUUGAGUACUGGAGAGGAAGGGGGAAUUCCCGGUGUAGAGGUGAAAUUCGUAGAGAUCGGGAGGAAUACCAGUGGCGUAGGCGCCCUUCUGGACGGUAACUGACGCUGAGACGCGAAAGCGUGGGGAGCAAACAGGAUUAGAUACCCCUGUAGUCC
RNAcentral lists this ribosomal RNA (450 nucleotides) under uncultured bacterium. RNAcentral's name for it is "partial 16S ribosomal RNA". It matches the Rfam family "Bacterial small subunit ribosomal RNA", at positions 354 to 796 of the family's 1533-position model. The record is from RNAcentral.